Molecule: unclassified non-coding RNA, 245 nt
Filed under: plant metagenome
Description: partial contains small subunit ribosomal RNA, internal transcribed spacer 1, and 5.8S ribosomal RNA
Source: RNAcentral
UUUCCGUAGGUGAACCUGCGGAAGGAUCAUUACUGAGUGAGGGCCCCUCGGGGUCCAACCUCCCACCCGUGUUUAACGAACCUUGUUGCUUCGGCGGGCCCGCCACACGGCCGCCGGGGGGCAUCUGCCCCCGGGCCCGCGCCCGUCGGAGGCCCAAACCAAACUCUUGUUUUUGUAGAAUCUUCUGAGUGGCCUUUUAGGCAAAAAAUGAAUCAAAACUUUCAACAACGGAUCUCUUGGUUCUC